RNAcentral lists this ribosomal RNA (247 nucleotides) under uncultured bacterium. RNAcentral's name for it is "partial 16S ribosomal RNA". It matches the Rfam family "Bacterial small subunit ribosomal RNA", at positions 796 to 1041 of the family's 1533-position model. The record is from RNAcentral.
CAUGCCGUAAACGAUGAGUGCUAAGUGUUAGGGGGUUUCCGCCCCUUAGUGCUGCAGCUAACGCAUUAAGCACUCCGCCUGGGGAGUACGACCGCAAGGUUGAAACUCAAAGGAAUUGACGGGGGCCCGCACAAGCGGUGGAGCAUGUGGUUUAAUUCGAUGCAACGCGAAGAACCUUACCUACUCUUGACAUCCAGAGAACUUAGCAGAGAUGCUUUGGUGCCUUCGGGAACUCUGAGACAGGUGC